UUGAAUAUUUUUUGAGUCAAUAGUUAGGGUCAGUUCACCUAAUUAACUUUUGAGUUAAGCAUUCUUAAUGUGUAUUUGAUUCACUUAAAAUUAAUAUACUCCAUAACACGAUAUUUUUUUUCAAAAUAACCAAUUUUUUCAAAAAAAAAAUCAAAAAUAACCAUUUUUUUAAAAAAAUAAAUCAAAAUAAUCAAGUUUGGUAGAGAAUGCGUCAUAUGAAU
RNAcentral lists this long non-coding RNA (221 nucleotides) under Lathyrus oleraceus (garden pea). Its description in RNAcentral is "Pisum sativum (pea) long non-coding RNA (PSAT_LNC020604)". The record is from RNAcentral. Lineage: Eukaryota; Viridiplantae; Streptophyta; Magnoliopsida; Fabales; Fabaceae.